This is a non-coding RNA of Podarcis lilfordi (Lilford's wall lizard), 80 nucleotides long. NCBI's taxonomy places the organism in Eukaryota, Metazoa, Chordata, Lepidosauria, Squamata, Lacertidae. The record is from the annotation of a GenBank genome assembly.
AGGGCAAUCACUCAGUGUUUAGAGCAUCUGCUUUGCAUGCAGAAGGUCGCAGGUUCAAUCCCUGGCAUCCCUUUGCCUUG